This is a non-coding RNA of Lactuca sativa (garden lettuce), 2773 nucleotides long. NCBI's taxonomy places the organism in Eukaryota, Viridiplantae, Streptophyta, Magnoliopsida, Asterales, Asteraceae. The record is from RefSeq and is a predicted model, not a curated record.
CCCAUAUGCACAACCUCUUCAUAUCCAUACCCAGUUUAUCUCGAUGCUUCGCCUCCUUCCCCACCGCCUAUCUUCUCCAUUGUUCCUCACAUAUUCGAUGGUCAGCUUUUCUAUCGAUUCAUUCUCACGGUCAUUGUCUACUUCUUGCCUUCUCCGUUGUUACACAAAAAAGCAAUCGGCUUCGGAUUUGCUUCAAAGAGUAAACAUCCCAGAAUCUGUUCUCCCGGUAAAUCACCACACACCCUCAUCGGCAUGCAGCUGUUUGUCUUAGUUCUCCAUUCAUUCCUCUAUCCACAGGCGCAGUAAAAAAGGUACACUCUUCUUCUUCCCUGAUUCGUCGUUUCCAUGUAAUGGUUACACUUUCAUAAACACCAUUUUUUUGGUGAUAGGGCUUGAUUCGCCAACAAUGGCGAUUUCCCCACAAUCACUCACGCCUUUAAAUAGAUUUUUACGUCUCUUGUCUCUAUCGCUUCAAUCUUCAGCUAUGCAAACGAAAUUUUCUACCAUGUAGCUAUUUUUUUUUUCUACCGGUGCUCAAUCCUUUUGACAAACACCAAAACAGAAGACCAAAACACCCCAAAAAGACUUUUAUUAGUUUAUAGACUUGGACAUCAUGGAAAUUUGUGUCGUCUGAAAAGGAUUAUAUACGUAGAUAUUAUUAAGAAUUUAAAUAUAAUUUAAAUUAUUAAGCAAAUCUAGACCAUUUACUUGGAAGAAUAGCCAAUAAUCCUGAUUUGAAAAUGAAAUCAUAACGAGUCAGUCUUCAGUUUAAUUUUUUAUGUCUUUUUUAAUUUCAUUUACUAAAACUGAAAAUAUGAAAUUUAAUUGUAUCAUUAACCUAAACCUUUUUAACUGAGACUAGAAGAACAUGUCUGAGUUGGACUAAAGAUGGAUAUAAAGUUAUAGCUUUUGAUGGGAUGUUAUUAACCAAAGUUGGUACCAUGACUGGUGAUACAAGUUGUGGAAUGGUACAAAAGUUACUUAAAUGAGAUUAUGAGAAAAUAGAAUGACGUUUGCAUUACUGAAUAUGCUUUAUAAUCCAAGAUCCCAAGAUGCUAUUGAAAGUGAUGACCUUCAGUUUUUGGAAUGGCACAAAGGAGGAAGAAUGUUUCACAAAUUGGCAGGCAUUGAUCCCACUCAAAUAAUAGAUUUUGGUGCAGUAGUCAAGCAUUCAUGGUCUCUUGUGGGUGGUAAUGGUCAUGUAGGAUCAGGAGUUGUAAUUAGGCCCAAUGUCACAAUUGGUCGAUCCACGAACAUAGGGUAUAAUGUUGCAUUGGCUAAUUACACGAUUGGUGAGUCAUGUGUCAUCCAUCAUGGAGACUGCAUUGCUGAAUAUGCUAAUUAAGAUCAAUUUCAUUGAACAAAAUGUAGUAAUCUGCAUUCGUUCCCAAUAAUAUUGUCUUUCAUUUUUCACAUUUCAUUUUUAAUUUUUUUCUAUUUUUUUUAUUAUUCUGUAUGCUCUUAUAGAAUAAUGUUGAGAUUGGUGCAAAUUCAUGCAUUGAUAGAGGCAAGUCAGUUUAUAUUGUUUUCUAUUUACAAGUUAAUACACUUUGAGCCUUGAUGUUUCUAAUUAUACAAAAUGACAUAUCUACCCUUUGUGUAGUUGGAGGGAUGAUAAUAUUUUGAAAAAGACGGUUUCCUAUUUAUGUUUAUGCCAACUUACAGUUUAAUGAACAACAGGAUGAAAUAAACACGAUUUUCGUAACUUUGUAAACAAUUUUAUUGUUUUGUAGAUCUCUAGAGAUGGUGAAAUAACUGGAUCUCAUCAUUUUAAGCCUAUCACGUUUUUGUGAGGUAGAGCUACUGACAGGUUCAUUGUCCGAAUGUAUACAUUGACUUUUCCAAUAUAUGUUAUAAUCAAUUUGUUUACUAUUUUCCCCAGUUAAUUCUAUCCUAUCAUUGCAAAAUAAUUAAUACGUGAGAAUAUAGUUUCGGUUUCUAUUUUCCAAACGUUUUCACUGAAUAACUGAAUUGCUUGGUUUUAGUGUUCAUUUGGUUGAACUAAAAGAUACGGAUGAAUAUUUUGCUAUGAAAGCUGGCUGUAAUGAUAAACCGUAAUAAGGUAUGUCUGUAAAAUAAUAUUCCUUUUUUUUAUAUUAUGAUUUCAAAAUUAAAACUUUUUGAAAUUUGAUUUUUGUUAUGUAAAUAACUAAUGUGUUGUAAAUUGAUUUUAAUUAUGGUAUUAUCAUCAUAAGUUGUACUCGAGUAGAUAAAAAUGACAAGUGUUAUAAGUUUCAUAGAUCAUACUUUAGAUUUUUUUUUCAUGCUUGACUUUCAUAUUUCUUUAAAGUACACACAAAUACAAUAGCAUGCGGUAACAUUUCUUUUAAAAUAUACCAUAAUCUUAUCAAUUUUUUUAAACGUAGCAUUUCUAUUUUUGGGAAAAUAAGAUGGAACUCUGUUUGUGAAUAAAGGAUACAUUGAGACACCAUGUACUUCAAGAUAGAUGAGGGUGAGUGAAAUUAUAUUUGUGAUGGUGGUAAGAUAUACAUUUCUCAAUUGAUCUACUUAUUAUAGGUUGUGUUACUUUUAAAAAGAUGCAAACUUCUAUUAAAUAUCUAAAUUAAGAAGACAUUAUCAGUUGAGAUGAUGAUUUUGUUUGUAAACUGUAAUUAAUAAUUUCUCUCAGUGACUAAAAUCUUGGAUAUAAUGCAUUGCUACUUCGGUCUGAAGACUUUUAACAAAAUUGAAAUGGAAGAAGUCAAAAAAUUCAACACUACUUUUGGGAUUAAAAGCUAUCUCAAAUGUCCACAAGAUGUAUAGAAGAUGAAAA